UGUGAACUAAUUGGAAUCACUGAAAAAGAUAGGGGUUGCUAUUUUAGAGGAAAAUGGGAUGUUAAUAUAAUAGGAGCAACUUACACCGAAGCUGUCGAAACCAUUUUUGCAAACUCGGACCUCGGAAUAAUACCCAAGAGUUGCGAACACUUACUACCUUUUAACUCUAAGAUUCUUCAUCAUAUCAUGACAAGCAUACUAUUCCCU
This 207-nucleotide long non-coding RNA is filed under the name Musa acuminata (dwarf banana). RNAcentral describes it as "long non-coding RNA (MACU_LNC009517)". Lineage: Eukaryota; Viridiplantae; Streptophyta; Magnoliopsida; Zingiberales; Musaceae. The record is from RNAcentral.